Long non-coding RNA from Oreochromis aureus, 902 nucleotides. RefSeq lists it as uncharacterized. Lineage: Eukaryota; Metazoa; Chordata; Actinopteri; Cichliformes; Cichlidae. The record is from RefSeq and is a predicted model, not a curated record. The transcript has 4 exons.
GCAACAUGUGGAGAUAUUUUAUGACUGUAAAUGAAAAUGCUGGAGAAGAGAUGGAAGGCAUGUCAGCACCUAAAGCCACAGGGGACCACAACAAGCUGUAGAGUUCAGCUUUCGGGCUUUCAGAUCGUUUGUUUGCAGGGUUGGAAAAUAGGCAGCAUAGUGGCUCAGACCUGACAGGAGGAAUGGAGGAGCUUUUGCUACCCUAGCCUCUUCCUGUGUGACCUCGGCAUGUGAGAAGUCCUGUGUUUAAAUCCCAGAUGACCAAAUCCCACGCUGUCAUAACAGCAUGUGCUGUUUUGCACAACAUCUGCCUCGGUGCUGGUGAUAUUGUGGCCCGGAGGAUGAUGUUCAAGAUGAGGGGGAGAUUGGUUCAGAGGCAGUCAGUGGUGCUCUCUGGUGGGACCAGCUAUCUGCUGAGGUGUCUGCCCUGGAGGAGGUACCCCUGGACCAAAAUGAUUGUCAGCAAGCAGACAUUUUAGUGACAUGGCAGCCGUCAGUUACAUCAGUCCUGCAAACCCAAGAGAUAGAUGAUGUGGUGAACCGUGGAAACAAGCAUCCCUAAACAAGUUCUGCAGAUCACCCUGUAUGAUGCUCAACUUAGAAGCUAGAAAGGCAAAUCAUUUCACUUAUGGUGUCUCCUUCACCUCUUUGGUCCUGGUCCAGCAGAUUCCACUGCCCGAGACUUCCUGCUCAGCCAAAUAUCAGGGCUGGUUAAAAGUGUGCAUACUGGGACACUCAGCCUAAUCCUGGACUUUAAUAAUAACUCUUAAUAACUAAUACUCCUGUUGUGUUUUUUUCCACUGUUGUUAUUUUCUCAAUUUGGACAAUUUAAUAAAUCAGUUGCAAAUAAACAGUUAUGUUGUACAUAGUUUGAGAAAAUGAUUCAAAUACAGUUGAAGUGU